AUAAAAGCAAUGCGUAGGGAGAGUAGCUAUUUUCGAAACAUUUCAGAGAGCCGGUGGUGGUGGGAGUCCGGUAUGAUUAGAGAUAGUGAAUGGGCCUACAAGCUGUAGACUGAAAUUACUUUUAGUAAGAGUAGGAAACUACCGGAGCACUUCACCGUUAAAAGAAGUCGGGUAUCGGAUUGAAUUAAAAUAAUCUCGUACUUUGUCUUAUAGGCUUUUUGCUUAUAAAGGUGGUAUAGCGAAAUUAACCUUUCGUCCUUUAUGGAUGGAAGGUUUUUAUUUUAUUCAUUUCCCGUACUUAAAGAGAGGGGCUUUUGCCCAAUUAAGGUGGUACCGCGAAAACUUUUCGUCCUUUUG
This 357-nucleotide non-coding RNA is filed under the name Desulfonispora thiosulfatigenes. RNAcentral describes it as "T-box sequence". It matches the Rfam family "T-box leader". Rfam says of the family: Uncharged tRNA acts as the effector for transcription antitermination of genes in the T-box leader family. T-boxes are found upstream of many aminoacyl-tRNA synthetase genes and some amino acid biosynthetic genes usually in Gram-positive bacteria. The record is from RNAcentral. Lineage: Bacteria; Bacillati; Bacillota; Clostridia; Eubacteriales; Peptococcaceae.